This 407-nucleotide ribosomal RNA is filed under the name uncultured bacterium. Its description in RNAcentral is "partial 16S ribosomal RNA". It matches the Rfam family "Bacterial small subunit ribosomal RNA", at positions 28 to 526 of the family's 1533-position model. The record is from RNAcentral.
GACGAACGCUGGCGGCGUGCCUAAUACAUGCAAGUAGGACGCAGUUGCGAACGGGUGAGUAACGAGUCGGUCACUGCAUAUUAGAGGGGGCUAAAUAUUGGAAACGAUAGCUAAUACUGCAUACUAGUAGAUGGACCUGCGUUGUCUUAGCUAGUAGGUAGGGUAAUGGCCUACCUAGGCAACGAUACAUAGCCGGCCUGAGAGGGUGAUCGGCAAAACUGGGACUGUGAAACGGGCCAGAAGCCUACGGGAGGGAGCAGGAGGGAAUGUUCGGGAAUGGGGGGAAACCUGACCGAGCAACUCCGCGUGAGUGAAGAAGGGUUUCGGAUUGUAAAGCUCUGUUGGUAAGUAAGCGUUACUUAACCAGAAAGGGACGGCUAACUACGUGCCAGCAGCCGCGGUAAUAC